RNAcentral lists this ribosomal RNA (251 nucleotides) under uncultured prokaryote. Its description in RNAcentral is "partial 16S rRNA". It matches the Rfam family "Bacterial small subunit ribosomal RNA", at positions 525 to 775 of the family's 1533-position model. The record is from RNAcentral.
ACGGGGGGUGCAAGCGUUGUUCGGAAUCAUUGGGCGUAAAGCGCGUGUAGGCGGCUUGACAAGUCAGAUGUGAAAUCCCCGGGCUUAACUCGGGAAGUGCAUUUGAAACUGUCUGGCUAGAGUAAGGGAGAGGAAGGUGGAAUUCCUGGUGUAGAGGUGAAAUGCGUAGAUAUCAGGAGGAACACCGGUGGCGAAGGCGACUUUCUGGCCCUAUACUGACGCUGAGACGCGAAAGCGUGGGUAGCAAACAG